Molecule: ribosomal RNA, 253 nt
Filed under: uncultured bacterium
Lineage: Bacteria
Description: partial 16S ribosomal RNA
Rfam family: Bacterial small subunit ribosomal RNA
Source: RNAcentral
UACGUAGGGGGCGAGCGUUAUCCGGAUUUACUGGGUGUAAAGGGCGAGUAGGCGGGAUUACAAGUCAGAUGUGAAAUACCGAGGCUUAACUUCGGGGCUGCAUUUGAAACUGUAGUUCUUGAGUGAUGGAGAGGCAGGCGGAAUUCCCAGUGUAGCGGUGAAAUGCGUAGAUAUUGGGAAGAACACCAGUGGCGAAGGCGGCCUGCUGGACAUUAACUGACGCUGAGGAGCGAAAGCGUGGGGAGCAAACAGG